This 256-nucleotide ribosomal RNA is filed under the name uncultured bacterium. RNAcentral describes it as "partial 16S ribosomal RNA". It matches the Rfam family "Bacterial small subunit ribosomal RNA", at positions 74 to 334 of the family's 1533-position model. The record is from RNAcentral.
CAAUAUAAGUGAUGGCGACCGGCGCACGGGUGAGUAACACGUAUCCAACCUGCCGAUAACUCGGGGAUAGCCUUUCGAAAGAAAGAUUAAUACCCGAUGGUAUAGUAAAACCGCAUGGUUUAAUUAUUAAAGAAUUUCGGUUAUCGAUGGGGAUGCGUUCCAUUAGGCAGUUGGUGAGGUAACGGCUCACCAAACCUUCGAUGGAUAGGGGUUCUGAGAGGAAGGUCCCCCACAUUGGAACUGAGACACGGUCCAA